AUCACCAAGAAUACCCAUUGCGAAGGCGAUCUGCUGGAACUCAACUGACGCUAAGGCGCGAAAGCGUGGGGAGCAAACAGGAUUAGAUACCCUGGUAGUCCACGCCCUAAACGAUGUACACUAGUUGUUGGGGUGCUAGUCAUCUCAGUAAUGCAGCUAACGCAUUAAGUGUACCGCCUGGGGAGUACGGUCGCAAGAUUAAAACUCAAAGGAAUAGACGGGGACCCGCACAAGCGGUGGAGCAUGUGGUUUAAUUCGAAGAUACGCGAAGAACCUUACCUGGGCUUGAUAUCCUAAGAACCUUUUAGAGAUAAGAGGGUGCUAGCUUGCUAGAACUUAGAGACAGGUGCUGCACGGCUGUCGUCAGCUCGUGUCGUGAGAUGUUGGGUUAAGUCCCGCAACGAGCGCAACCCACGUAUUUAGUUGCUAACGGUUCGGCCGAGCACUCUAAAUAGACUGCCUUCGUAAGGAGGAGGAAGGUGUGGACGACGUCAAGUCAUCAUGGCCCUUAUGCCCAGGGCGACACACGUGCUACAAUGGCAUAUACAAUGAGACGCAAUACCGCGAGGUGGAGCAAAUCUAUAAAAUAUGUCCCAGUUCGGAUUGUUCUCUGCAACUCGAGAGCAUGAAGCCGGAAUCGCUAGUAAUCGUAGAUCAGCCAUGCUACGGUGAAUACGUUCCCGGGUCUUGUACUCACCGCCCGUCACACCAUGGGAGUUGAUUUCACUCGAAGCCGGAAUACUAAACUAGUUACCGUCCACAGUGGAAUCAGCGACUGGGGUGAAGUCGUAACAAGGUAACCGUAGGAGAACCUGCGGUUGGAUCACCUCCUUUCUA
RNAcentral lists this ribosomal RNA (837 nucleotides) under Campylobacter jejuni. Its description in RNAcentral is "bacterial SSU rRNA". It matches the Rfam family "Bacterial small subunit ribosomal RNA", at positions 696 to 1533 of the family's 1533-position model. The record is from RNAcentral. Lineage: Bacteria; Pseudomonadati; Campylobacterota; Epsilonproteobacteria; Campylobacterales; Campylobacteraceae.